GGCCCAUUAGCUCAGUUGGUUAGAGCGUCGUGCUAAUAACGCGAAGGUCUACGGUUCGAUCCCGUAAUGGGCCA
Contarinia nasturtii (swede midge) is the source of this 74-nucleotide non-coding RNA. Lineage: Eukaryota; Metazoa; Arthropoda; Insecta; Diptera; Cecidomyiidae. The record is from the annotation of a RefSeq genome assembly.